GCACCUGCAAAUUCAGGUGUCGGGUUUGAGACCCCGGUUAUCUAAGAAGGCGCAUAACACGCCGAGAGCGUGUUUUUU
Molecule: non-coding RNA, 78 nt
Organism: Glossina pallidipes
Lineage: Eukaryota; Metazoa; Arthropoda; Insecta; Diptera; Glossinidae
Source: Rfam